GAAGAAAGCUGGCGGCGUGCUUAACACAUGCGAGUCGUACGGUAAGGCCCUUUCGGGGGUACACGAGUGGCGAACGGGUGAGUAACACGUGAGUAACCUGCCCACAACUUUGGGAUAACGCUAGGAAACUGGUGCUAAUACUGGAUAUGUGCUCCUGCUGCAUGGUGGGGGUUGGAAAGCUCCGGCGGUUGUGGAUGGACUCGCGGCCUAUCAGCUUGUUGGUGGGGUAGUGGCCUACCAAGGCGGCGACGGGUAGCCGGCCUGAGAGGGUGACCGGCCACAUUGGGACUGAGAUACGGCCCAGACUCCUACGGGAGGCAGCAGUGGGGAAUAUUGCACAAUGGGCGCAAGCCUGAUGCAGCAACGCCGCGUGCGGGAUGACGGCCUUCGGGUUGUAAACCGCUUUCAGCAGGGACGAAGCUUUUUGUGACGGUACCUGCAGAAGAAGCACCGGCUAACUACGUG
RNAcentral lists this ribosomal RNA (465 nucleotides) under uncultured bacterium. RNAcentral describes it as "partial 16S ribosomal RNA". It matches the Rfam family "Bacterial small subunit ribosomal RNA", at positions 28 to 507 of the family's 1533-position model. The record is from RNAcentral.